RNAcentral lists this ribosomal RNA (254 nucleotides) under uncultured bacterium. RNAcentral describes it as "partial 16S ribosomal RNA". It matches the Rfam family "Archaeal small subunit ribosomal RNA", at positions 474 to 727 of the family's 1478-position model. The record is from RNAcentral.
UACCAGCACCCCGAGUGGUCGGGACGAUUAUUGGGCCUAAAGCAUCCGUAGCCGGUACUGCAAGUCUUCCGUUAAAUCCACCUGCUCAACAGUUGGGCUGCGGAGGAUACUACAGCGCUAGGAGGCGGGAGAGGCAAGCGGUACUCAUUGGGUAGGGGUAAAAUGCUCAAAUAUAUAGAGGAACACCAAUCGGCGAAGGCAGUUAACUAUUCGGCUCCUGACGUUGAGGCACGAAAGCGUGAGGAGCAAGACGG